AGGAAGCCCGCAGCUCAGGAGUGGACCAUCUCUGUCCCGUUUCCCUUUUCAGAUGGCCAAUCUUCUGUCAGACUUCAGGUCCAUCUAUUUGCUGAAUAAGAUGAGGCGCCUUACCUGCUUUUUGGUUUGCUUGCAUACCUGCUAUUACUUCAGCUGUCAAGAUGGUUUCACAGCCAAACAUGGCUCAGCAAGGAGUAAAGUUAUCUGAAGACUGGUUGUUAACUACAAGUUUUUCUCAGAUGCACAAAAUUAAUGAACGGGUAGAGCAAUUUUGCAGAGAGUGGAAUACUCAGAGGUCCAUACUGGAGCAGAAACAGAAGAAGGAUCAAAAGACAUUGUUGCUCUAUUUUUACCUGCUCGAAUGCCCAAAGACUUCACUCAUGAGUCCUCCAGACGUGUCACAGAGGUGCAACGACGUACUCAGAGGCAGGCAUCUAAUUGUCUCCAACCUCGGUGAGAGAUGA
This 464-nucleotide long non-coding RNA is filed under the name Struthio camelus australis. RNAcentral describes it as "lncRNA (ENSSCUG00000012800.1)". The record is from RNAcentral. Lineage: Eukaryota; Metazoa; Chordata; Aves; Struthioniformes; Struthionidae.